This 253-nucleotide ribosomal RNA is filed under the name uncultured bacterium. RNAcentral's name for it is "partial 16S ribosomal RNA". It matches the Rfam family "Bacterial small subunit ribosomal RNA", at positions 524 to 776 of the family's 1533-position model. The record is from RNAcentral.
UACAGAGGUCUCAAGCGUUGUUCGGAUUCAUUGGGCGUAAAGGGUGCGUAGGCGGCAGAUCAAGUUAGAUGCGAAAUACCCGGGCUUAACUCGGGAACUGCAUUUAAUACUGCUCUGCUAGAGUAUUAGAGAAGAAGCUGGAAUUUACGGUGUAGCAGUGAAAUGCGUAGAUAUCGUAAAGAACGUCAGUGGCGAAAGCGAGCUUCUAGAUAAUUACUGACGCUGAGGCACGAAAGCUAGGGGAGCAAACGGG